GUACUUGUCUCUGAUAUGUCCUCCAUAGGAGGUCUGUAUUGAGCAGAUUCUUUUUGGUAUUGGGUGGUGGAACCGGAGCGUGCUCCAUCCACUCCAUGCAUUGACCUGGUAUUGCAGUGCUUCCAGGACCAGUGC
Molecule: small nuclear RNA, 135 nt
Organism: Crocodylus porosus (Australian saltwater crocodile)
Lineage: Eukaryota; Metazoa; Chordata; Crocodylia; Crocodylidae
Gene: U2
Rfam family: U2 spliceosomal RNA
About the family: U2 is a small nuclear RNA (snRNA) component of the spliceosome (involved in pre-mRNA splicing). Complementary binding between U2 snRNA (in an area lying towards the 5' end but 3' to hairpin I) and the branchpoint sequence (BPS) of the intron results the bulging out of an unpaired adenosine, on the BPS, which initiates a nucleophilic attack at the intronic 5' splice site, thus starting the first of two transesterification reactions that mediate splicing.
Source: Ensembl